This 89-nucleotide transfer RNA is filed under the name bacterium. RNAcentral's name for it is "tRNA-Ser". It matches the Rfam family "tRNA". Rfam says of the family: Transfer RNA (tRNA) molecules are approximately 80 nucleotides in length. The record is from RNAcentral.
GGAGAGAUGCCGGAGCGGUCUAACGGAACGGCCUGGAGCGCCGUGCCUCCAAAAGGGGCUCGUGGGUUCGAAUCCCACUCUCUCCGCCA